RNAcentral lists this long non-coding RNA (369 nucleotides) under Sinocyclocheilus anshuiensis. RNAcentral describes it as "lncRNA (ENSSANG00000046639.1)". Lineage: Eukaryota; Metazoa; Chordata; Actinopteri; Cypriniformes; Cyprinidae. The record is from RNAcentral.
CAGCACUAUGAGGAACACCAUCUUUCAGCUGAUGAUUCACACACUGGAUCCUCUUGGAGAGGUGAAAUUUAAAGACAAGGCUCAGAUUUUGAACGACAUGGCCCGGGGGAAAGUAGAGAACAAAAAGAAGGAAAAAUCUGGUGAAGGUGACGAUCAGACGGAACAGUCCAAGGAUUCCAAAGACGCAGCUCCAGGAGCCAAGGAAGAAGACGCUAGUCAAAAGCCUGAGGCACAAAAGGAAGGAGACACUGCAGCAGGAGGAGGUUCAGAGAAGCCAGGAGGUUCAGAUGAUUCAGGGGAUGAUGAAGAUGACAGUGAUGAAGACAGCGAUGAAGACAGUGAUGAUGAUGAUGAAAAUGAGGAUGAGGC